CCUAGACUGGGGCAUUUCAUACCUGAAAAUACCAAUUUUACAGUAAAAGGCCAAUGAAAUAUACAAAAGAACCAAAGAGGAAACAAAAAGUUCACUAUUUUUCUUUUUCUUAUUCUGUUCUUUUUCUCUCUCCUGUUCUUCAGCCCCUCAAUCUUGAAUUAAUUUUCUUCUCCACUGACCAGGAAAUAUGAGGAAACAAGCCUGACUAUGGAAAGGUGUCCCUUUUCUGCCUUCUUCGUGUGAACAGACAAACUGUGAGUGAAAUACCUCCACAGCAAGAGUAAAGAUACCUGGAAAUCUCUUCUUUUCCGACCAUGUGCAGCUUUCUGUACCUGCCCAGAAAAACUCGGAUCCAGAAGCUUUCUUCAGUAUGUGAUCUCCCAGGCAGAAAGAAGAAAUGUCACCUGUUCUGUCUACUGGGAAGCACUGAAGGUCUGUGGAAGAUGAAAAAUGCUGGAUGGCUAUGUGAGUGGUGGACAGCCAUGCCAGAUGUGUCUCCUUGGCCCUGA
RNAcentral lists this long non-coding RNA (509 nucleotides) under Zonotrichia albicollis (white-throated sparrow). RNAcentral's name for it is "lncRNA (ENSZALG00000017697.1)". Lineage: Eukaryota; Metazoa; Chordata; Aves; Passeriformes; Passerellidae. The record is from RNAcentral.